UGUCUGUGGGUUAGUUCGCUCGUCGAGCC
RNAcentral lists this small RNA (29 nucleotides) under Bombyx mori (domestic silkworm). RNAcentral describes it as "ovarian small RNA-9071". Lineage: Eukaryota; Metazoa; Arthropoda; Insecta; Lepidoptera; Bombycidae. The record is from RNAcentral.